GGCCCGUUGGUCAAGUGGUUAAGACACUGCCCUUUCACGGCAGUAACACGGGUUCGAAUCCCGUACGGGUCA
Pontibacillus yanchengensis Y32 is the source of this 72-nucleotide transfer RNA. It matches the Rfam family "tRNA". Rfam says of the family: Transfer RNA (tRNA) molecules are approximately 80 nucleotides in length. Their secondary structure includes four short double-helical elements and three loops (D, anti-codon, and T loops). Further hydrogen bonds mediate the characteristic L-shaped molecular structure. tRNAs have two regions of fundamental functional importance: the anti-codon, which is responsible for specific mRNA codon recognition, and the 3' end, to which the tRNAs corresponding amino acid is attached (by aminoacyl-tRNA synthetases). tRNAs cope with the degeneracy of the genetic code in two manners: having more than one tRNA (with a specific anti-codon) for a particular amino acid; and 'wobble' base-pairing, i.e. permitting non-standard base-pairing at the 3rd anti-codon position. The record is from Rfam. NCBI's taxonomy places the organism in Bacteria, Bacillati, Bacillota, Bacilli, Caryophanales, Bacillaceae.